UUGUUCUCCGCCCGCGAUGCUGCGAGAAGUCCAUUGAACCUUAUCAUUUAGAGGAAGGAGAAGUCGUAACAAGGUUUCCGUAGGUGAACCUGCGGAAGGAUCAUUG
RNAcentral lists this ribosomal RNA (106 nucleotides) under Diuris pardina. RNAcentral describes it as "partial 18S ribosomal RNA". It matches the Rfam family "Eukaryotic small subunit ribosomal RNA", at positions 1726 to 1831 of the family's 1831-position model. Lineage: Eukaryota; Viridiplantae; Streptophyta; Magnoliopsida; Asparagales; Orchidaceae. The record is from RNAcentral.